This 504-nucleotide ribosomal RNA is filed under the name uncultured bacterium. RNAcentral's name for it is "bacterial SSU rRNA". It matches the Rfam family "Bacterial small subunit ribosomal RNA", at positions 8 to 521 of the family's 1533-position model. The record is from RNAcentral.
AGAGUUUGAUCCUGGCUCAGGACGAACGCUGGCGGUGCGCCUUAUGCAUGCAAGUCGAGCGAAGCUUUUCAGUAGUUUACUACAGAAAAUGACUGAGCGGCGAACGGGUGAGUAACGCGUGAGCAAUCUACCUUAGUUACUGGGAUAGCCCGAGGAAACUCGGAUUAAUACCGGAUAAUCUUAUUACAUCACAUGAUAUUUUAAGUAAAGGUCAGCCGAACUAAGAUGAGCUCGCGUUCUAUCAGCUUGUUGGUGGGGUAAAAGCCUACCAAGGCUACGACGGAUAGCUGGUCUGAGAGGACGAUCAGCCACACUGGGACUGAGACACGGCCCAGACUCCUACGGGAGGCUGCAGCAGGGAAUAUUGCGCAAUGAGCGAAAGCUUGACGCAGCGACACCGCGUGUGGGAUGACGGUUCUAGGAUUGUAAACCACUUUCAGGAGGGAAGAAAAUGACGGUACCUCCACAAGAAGCCCCGGCCAACUACGUGCCAGCAGCCGCGGU